Molecule: ribosomal RNA, 363 nt
Filed under: uncultured bacterium
Lineage: Bacteria
Description: partial 16S ribosomal RNA
Rfam family: Bacterial small subunit ribosomal RNA
Source: RNAcentral
CCUACGGGUGGCAGCAGUGAGGAAUUUUGGUCAAUGGACGCAAGUCUGAACCAGCCAUGCCGCGUGCAGGAAGACAGCUCUAUGAGUUGUAAACUGCUUUUAUAUGAGAGUAAACUCAUAUACGUGUAUCUCUCUGGAAGUAUCGUACGAAUAAUGUGCGGCGAACUCCGUGCCAACAGCGGUGUUAAUCCGGAGGAGUCAAGCGUUAUCCGGAUUUAUUGGGUUUAAAGGGUGCGUAGGUGGUGUGAUAAGUGAGAGGUGAAAGUACGUGGCUCAACUGCUGAAUUGCGUAUGAUACUGUUAGGCUAGAGAGUAGUUGAGGUAGGCGGAAUGCAUGGUGUAGCAGUGAAAUGCUUAGAGAUC